AUACGUAGGGAGCAAGCGUUAUCCGAAUUUAUUGGGUGUAAAGCGUGUGUAGGCGGUUUUAUAAGUCUAAGGUUUAAGUCCGAAGCUUAACUUCGGUUCGCCUUAGAAACUGUUUUACUUGAAUGCGGUAGAGGCAAGUGGAAUUUCUAGUGUAGCGGUAAAAUGCUUAGAUAUUAGAAGAGACACCAGUGGCGAAGGCGACUAGCUGGGCGGUGAUUGACGCUGAGACACGAAAGCGUGGGGAGCAAAUAGGAUUAGAUACCCUAGUAGUCCACGCCGUAAACGAUGAAUACUAAGUAUCGGAAUUUUCGGUGCUGAAGUUAACACAUUAAGUAUUCCACCUGAGUAGUACGGUCGCAAGGCUGAAACUCAAAUGAAUUGACGGGG
This 387-nucleotide ribosomal RNA is filed under the name uncultured bacterium. RNAcentral describes it as "partial 16S ribosomal RNA". It matches the Rfam family "Bacterial small subunit ribosomal RNA", at positions 523 to 918 of the family's 1533-position model. The record is from RNAcentral.